AGUGAACGCUGGCGGUAGGCCUAACACAUGCAAGUCGAACGGCAGCACAGGAGAGCUUGCUCUCUGGGUGGCGAGUGGCGGACGGGUGAGGAAUACAUCGGAAUCUACUCUGUCGUGGGGGAUAACGUAGGGAAACUUACGCUAAUACCGCAUACGACCUACGGGUGAAAGCAGGGGACCUUCGGGCCUUGCGCGAUUGAAUGAGCCGAUGUCGGAUUAGCUAGUUGGCGGGGUAAAGGCCCACACAGGCGACGAUCCGUAGCUGGUCUGAGAGAAUGAUCAGCCACACUGGAACUGAGACACGGUCCAGACUCCUACGGGGAGCAGGAGUGGGUAAUAUUGGACAAUGGGCGCAAGCCUGAUACAGCCAUACCGCGUGGGUGAAGAAGGCCUUCGGGUUGUAAAGCCCUUUUGUUGGGAAAGAAAUCCGGCUGGCUAAUACCCGGUUGGGAUGGCGGUACCCAAAGAAUAAGCGCCGGCUAACUUCGUGCCAGCAGCCGCGGUAA
Molecule: ribosomal RNA, 506 nt
Filed under: uncultured bacterium
Lineage: Bacteria
Description: partial 16S ribosomal RNA
Rfam family: Bacterial small subunit ribosomal RNA
Source: RNAcentral